CCUACGGGUGGCAGCAGUAGGGAAUCUUUCACAAUGGGCGAAAGCCUGAUGGAGCAACGCCGCGUGCAGGAUGAAGGCCUUCGGGUUGUAAACUGCUUUUAUAAGCGAGAAAUAUGAUGGUAACUUAUGAAUAAGGAUCGGCUAACUACGUGCCAGCAGCCGCGGUCAUACGUAGGAUCCGAGCAUUAUCCGGAGUGACUGGGUGUAAAGAGUUGCGUAGGUGGCAUAAUAAGUAGCUAGUGAAAUCUGGUGGCUCAACCAUUCAGACUAUUAGCUAAACUGUUAAGCUCGAGACCGUUAGGGGUAACUGGAAUGUGUAGUGUAGGAGUGAAAUCCGUAGAUAUUAGAAGGAACACCGAUAGCGUAGGCAGGUUGCUGGGACGGUUCUGACACUAAGGCACGAAAGCGUAGGGAGCAAACGGGAUUAGAUACCCGAGUAGUC
Molecule: ribosomal RNA, 442 nt
Filed under: uncultured bacterium
Lineage: Bacteria
Description: partial 16S ribosomal RNA
Rfam family: Bacterial small subunit ribosomal RNA
Source: RNAcentral